UCCUACGGGAGGCAGCAGUAGGGAAUCUUCCGCAAUGGACGAAAGUCUGACGGAGCAACGCCGCGUGAGUGAUGAAGGUUUUCGGAUCGUAAAGCUCUGUUGUUAGGGAAGAACAAGUGCGAGAGUAACUGCUCGCACCUUGACGGUACCUAACCAGAAAGCCACGGCUAACUACGUGCCAGCAGCCGCGGUAAUACGUAGGUGGCAAGCGUUGUCCGGAAUUAUUGGGCGUAAAGGGCUCGCAGGCGGUUUCUUAAGUCUGAUGUGAAAGCCCACGGCUCAACCGUGGAGGGUCAUUGGAAACUGGGGGACUUGAGUGCAGAAGAGAAGAGUGGAAUUCCACGUGUAGCGGUGAAAUGCGUAGAGAUGUGGAGGAACACCAGUGGCGAAGGCGACUCUUUGGUCUGUAACUGACGCUGAGGCGCGAAAGCGUGGGGAGCAAACAGGAUUAGAUACCCUGGUAGUCCACGCCGUAAACGAUGAGCGCUAAGUGUUAGAGGGUUUCCGCCCUUUAGUGCUGCAGCAAACGCAUUAAGCACUCCGCCUGGGGAGUACGGCCGCAAGGCUGAAACUCAAAUGAAUUGACGGA
Molecule: ribosomal RNA, 589 nt
Filed under: uncultured bacterium
Lineage: Bacteria
Description: bacterial SSU rRNA
Rfam family: Bacterial small subunit ribosomal RNA
Source: RNAcentral